UACCAGCACCCCGAGUGGUCGGGACGUUUAUUGGGCCUAAAGCAUCCGUAGCCGGUUCUACAAGUCUUCCGUUAAAUCCACCUGCUUAACAGAUGGGCUGCGGAAGAUACUAUAGAGCUAGGAGGCGGGAGAGGCAAGCGGUACUCGAUGGGUAGGGGUAAAAUCCGUUGAUCCAUUGAAGACCACCAGUGGCGAAGGCGGCUUGCCAGAACGCGCUCGACGGUGAGAGAUGAAAGCUGGGGGAGCAAACCGG
This 253-nucleotide ribosomal RNA is filed under the name uncultured bacterium. RNAcentral's name for it is "partial 16S ribosomal RNA". It matches the Rfam family "Archaeal small subunit ribosomal RNA", at positions 474 to 727 of the family's 1478-position model. The record is from RNAcentral.